Molecule: small nucleolar RNA, 218 nt
Filed under: Arabidopsis lyrata subsp. lyrata
Lineage: Eukaryota; Viridiplantae; Streptophyta; Magnoliopsida; Brassicales; Brassicaceae
Description: snoRNA Plant_U3
Rfam family: Plant small nucleolar RNA U3
About the family: Small nucleolar RNAs (snoRNAs) are involved in the processing and modification of rRNA in the nucleolus. There are two main classes of snoRNAs: the box C/D class, and the box H/ACA class.
Source: Rfam by way of RNAcentral
ACGACCUUACUUGAACAGGAUCUGUUCUAUAGGCUCGAACCUCUGUUUCCUUGAUUUCUCAAGAGACAGGCCCUUAACCCUGGUUGAUGAAUCAUGACCGUGCGAUUAGAGCGUGAUUAACGGCUACGUUCUUCUUCGGUUGCAUCCGGUGCUGUAGAGGAUCGUUACUCGGCUCCGUUCUACCUUGCCGGGGUGGUCGCACGGCGGUCUGACAGGCC